UAGUCCACGCCGUAAACGAUGGUAACUUGUUGUUGGAGGUAUUGACCCCUUCAGUGACGGAGCUAACGCGUUAAGUUACCCGCCUGGGGAGUACGGCCGCAAGGCUAAAACUCAAACGAAUUGACGGGGCCCCGCACAAGCAGCGGAGCGUGUGGUUUAAUUCGAUGAUACACGAAGAACCUUACCUGGGUUUGACAUGGCCGUGGUAUCGAAGCGAAAGCUGAGAGACCCUUCGGGGAGCGGUCACAGGUGCUGCAUGGCUGUCGUCAGCUCGUGCCGUGAGGUGUCGGGUUAAGUCCCGUAACGAGCGCAACCCUUGCCCCUAGUUACAAGUGUCUAGGGGGACUGCCGGUGAUAAAUCGGAGGAAGGUGGGGAUGACGUCAAGUCAGCAUGGCCUUUAUAUCCAGGGCUACACACACGCUACAAUGGCCGGUACAAUGGGUAGCGAAGCCGCGAGGAAGAGCGAAUCUCGAAAGCCGGUCGUAGUUCGAAUUGUAGGCUGCAACUCGCCUACGUGAAG
This 521-nucleotide ribosomal RNA is filed under the name uncultured bacterium. Its description in RNAcentral is "bacterial SSU rRNA". It matches the Rfam family "Bacterial small subunit ribosomal RNA", at positions 791 to 1325 of the family's 1533-position model. The record is from RNAcentral.